AAAGUGGAGCAAUCCAUGAGUAAAGUGGCGCACGGGUGAGUAACACGUGAAUUAUCUACCUCCGAGUGGGGAAUAACUGAGAGAAAUCUUAGCUAAUACCGCAUAACACUUACGAGUCAAAGCAGCAAUGCGCUUGGAGAGGAGUUCGCGGCCGAUUAGUUAGUUGGCGGGGUAAUGGCCCACCAAGACGAUGAUCGGUAUCCGGCCUGAGAGGGCGCACGGACACACUGGAACUGAAACACGGUCCAGACUCCUACGGGAGGCAGCAGUGGGGAAUUUUGCGCAAUGGGGGAAACCCUGACGCAGCAACGCCGCGUGGAGGAUGAAAUCCCUUGGGAUGUAAACUCCUUUCGAUAGGGAAGAUAAUGACGGUACCUAUAGAAGAAGCCCCGGCUAACUUCGUGCCAGCAGCCGCGGUAAUACGAGGGGGGCAAGCGUUGUUCGGAAUUAUUGGGCGUAAAGGGUGCGUAGGCGGUUUGACAAGUCUGAUGUGAAAUCUAUGGGCUCAACCCAUAGUCUGCAUUAGAAACUGUCGGGCUUGAGUAUGGGAGAGGUGAGUGGAAUUUCCGGUGUAGCGGUGAAAUGCGUAGAUAUCGGAAGGAACACCUGUGGCGAAAGCGGCUCACUGGACCAUUACUGACGCUGAUGCACGAAAGCUAGGGGAGCAAACAGGAUUAGAUACCCUGGUAGUCCUAGCCCUAAACGAUGAUUGCUUGAUGUGGCAGGUACCCAAUCCUGCCGUGUCGAAGCUAACGCGAUAAGCAAUCCGCCUGGGGAGUACGGUCGCAAGGCUGAAACUC
Molecule: ribosomal RNA, 800 nt
Filed under: uncultured Pseudomonadota bacterium
Lineage: Bacteria; Pseudomonadati; Pseudomonadota
Description: bacterial SSU rRNA
Rfam family: Bacterial small subunit ribosomal RNA
Source: RNAcentral